GAAUUACUGGGCGUAAAGCGCGCGCAGGCGGAGGCGAAAAGCCCCCUUUCGGGGGGGUCGGGAAGUCGGAGGUGAAAGCCCGGGGCUCAACCCUGGGACGCCCUCCGAAACUCCUCCUCUAGGGACCGGUAGAGGCCGGUGGAAUUCCCGGUGUAGCGGUGGAAUGCGUAGAGAUCGGGAAGAACACCCGUGGCGAAGGCGACCGGCUGGGCCGGCAGGCUCCUCUUCGGAGGAGCGUCCGACGCUCAUGCG
Molecule: unclassified non-coding RNA, 252 nt
Filed under: uncultured Gemmatimonadota bacterium
Lineage: Bacteria; Pseudomonadati; Gemmatimonadota
Description: uncultured Gemmatimonadetes bacterium contains 16S-23S intergenic spacer region
Rfam family: Bacterial small subunit ribosomal RNA (bases 52-223)
Source: RNAcentral